GUGAAUGCUUUGGGGUGGGGUGACUGCGUACCUUUUGUAUAAUGGGUCAGCGACUUAUAUUCUGUAGCAAGGUUAACCGAAUAGGGGAGCCGGAGGGAAACCGAGUCUUAAUUGGGCGUUAAGUUGCAGGGUAUAGACCCGAAACCCGGUGAUCUAGCCAUGGGCAGGUUGAAGGUUGGGUAACACUAACUGGAGGACCGAACCGACUAAUGUUGAAAAAUUAGCGGAUGACCUGUGGCUGGGGGUGAAAGGCCAAUCAAACCGGGAGAUAGCUGGUUCUCCCCGAAAGCUAUUUAGGUAGCGCCUCGUGAAUUCAUCUCCGGGGGUAGAGCACUGUUUCGGCUAGGGGGCCAUCCCGGCUUACCAACCCGAUGCAAACUGCGAAUACCGGAGAAUGUUAUCACGGGAGACACACGGCGGGUGCUAACGUCCGUCGUGAAGAGGGAAACAACCCAGACCGCCAGCUAAGGUCCCAAAGUCAUGGUUAAGUGGGAAACGAUGUGGGAAGGCCCAGACAGCCAGGAUGUUGGCUUAGAAGCAGCCAUCAUUUAAAGAAAGCGUAAUAGCUCACUGGUCGAGUCGGCCUGCGCGGAAGAUGUAACGGGGCUAAACCAUGCACCGAAGCUGCGGCAGCGAACGUAUCACCCAAGACAACUUUACGGAGUUGACGAUUGACGGAGCGAAGCGACGUCAAAGCGUUCAUUAAAGUCGAGUUGGCUUAGGGAUACGUUCGUUGGGUAGGGGAGCGUUCUGUAAGCCUGUGAAGGUGUGUCGUGAGGCAUGCUGGAGGUAUCAGAAGUGCGAAUGCUGACAUAAGUAACGAUAAAGCGGGUGAAAAGCCCGCUCGCCGGAAGACCAAGGGUUCCUGUCCAACGUUAAUCGGGGCAGGGUGAGUCGACCCCUAAGGCGAGGCCGAAAGGCGUAGUCGAUGGGAAACGGGUUAAUAUUCCCGUACUUGGUGUUACUGCGAAGGGGGGACGGAGAAGGCUAUGUUGGCCGGGCGACGGUUGUCCCGGUUUAAGCGUGUAGGUGUGUGUUCCAGGUAAAUCCGGUUCACUUUAACACUGAGGCGUGACGACGAGGCACUACGGUGCUGAAGCAACAAAUGCCCUGCUUCCAGGAAAAGCCUCUAAGCAUCAGGUAACAUCAAAUCGUACCCCAAACCGACACAGGUGGUCAGGUAGAGAAUACCAAGGCGCUUGAGAGAACUCGGGUGAAGGAACUAGGCAAAAUGGUGCCGUAACUUCGGGAGAAGGCACGCUGACACGUAGGUGAAGUGAUUUACUCAUGGAGCUGAAGUCAGUCGAAGAUACCAGCUGGCUGCAACUGUUUAUUAAAAACACAGCACUGUGCAAACACGAAAGUGGACGUAUACGGUGUGACGCCUGCCCGGUGCCGGAAGGUUAAUUGAUGGGGUCAGCGCAAGCGAAGCUCCUGAUCGAAGCCCCGGUAAACGGCGGCCGUAACUAUAACGGUCCUAAGGUAGCGAAAUUCCUUGUCGGGUAAGUUCCGACCUGCACGAAUGGCGUAAUGAUGGCCAGGCUGUCUCCACCCGAGACUCAGUGAAAUUGAACUCGCUGUGAAGAUGCAGUGUACCCGCGGCAAGACGGAAAGACCCCGUGAACCUUUACUAUAGCUUGACACUGAACAUUGAGCCUUGAUGUGUAGGAUAGGUGGGAGGCUUUGAAGUGUGGACGCCAGUCUGCAUGGAGCCGACCUUGAAAUACCACCCUUUAAUGUUUGAUGUUCUAACGUGGACCCGUAAUCCGGGUUGCGGACAGUGUCUGGUGGGUAGUUUGACUGGGGCGGUCUCCUCCUAAAGAGUAACGGAGGAGCACGAAGGUUGGCUAAUCCUGGUCGGACAUCAGGAGGUUAGUGCAAUGGCAUAAGCCAGCUUGACUGCGAGCGUGACGGCGCGAGCAGGUGCGAAAGCAGGUCAUAGUGAUCCGGUGGUUCUGAAUGGAAGGGCCAUCGCUCAACGGAUAAAAGGUACUCCGGGGAUAACAGGCUGAUACCGCCCAAGAGUUCAUAUCGACGGCGGUGUUUGGCACCUCGAUGUCGGCUCAUCACAUCCUGGGGCUGAAGUAGGUCCCAAGGGUAUGGCUGUUCGCCAUUUAAAGUGGUACGCGAGCUGGGUUUAGAACGUCGUGAGACAGUUCGGUCCCUAUCUGCCGUGGGCGCUGGAGAACUGAGGGGGGCUGCUCCUAGUACGAGAGGACCGGAGUGGACGCAUCACUGGUGUUCGGGUUGUCAUGCCAAUGGCACUGCCCGGUAGCUAAAUGCGGAAGAGAUAAGUGCUGAAAGCAUCUAAGCACGAAACUUGCCCCGAGAUGAGUUCUCCCUGAGACUUAGAGUCUCCUGAAGGAAC
Molecule: ribosomal RNA, 2368 nt
Filed under: Salmonella enterica
Lineage: Bacteria; Pseudomonadati; Pseudomonadota; Gammaproteobacteria; Enterobacterales; Enterobacteriaceae
Description: partial 23S ribosomal RNA
Rfam family: Bacterial large subunit ribosomal RNA
Source: RNAcentral